UUGCUUUUGUAUGCAACCGCACUGCUGAGGUGCUGAAAAAAAAACAAUGAUGGAUAAAAUGUCCAAGUUUCCGAGCAAUCAAAUCGUUUGGUCCGCGCGGUUGAGAUCCACUUCUUCCAGUGCCGUGCCAGAGAUCGUGUGGAUGCCGGCAUCAAUCUGGUGGCAGAACGGAAGUAAAAUCCAUCGAUGGCGGAUGCGGUAAAUUUAUCAACUUUAAAAAUCGGAUUCGAAUAAACCGGCUGCUGAACCAGCUGAGGCUGCUGAUCGAGUUGCCGACGAUGGUCAUUAGUGCUGUGCUACUGUUUGUGAUGCACCACACGGACCUACUGGCCAAUCUUGGAGAGAAGCUAUCCCACCUUCACGAGUAUCUAUAUUGAUGAUGGGAAUUUCAAGUCAUCAAGGCCGUGUGGAUGCCUCCAUCCGGAAUGCAUGUGCUGCAGCGAGAAAAACGCCACAAGUAAGAAAGCCUUGUAACAACAGAUACCGACAAUU
Molecule: long non-coding RNA, 492 nt
Organism: Armigeres subalbatus
Lineage: Eukaryota; Metazoa; Arthropoda; Insecta; Diptera; Culicidae
Exons: 3
Source: RefSeq, a predicted model, not a curated record